CCCUUAGAUGUUCUGGGCUGCACGCGCGCUACACUGAUGCGCUCAACGAGUUUAUGACCUUGCCCGGAAGGGUUGGGUAAUCUUCUUAAAACGCAUCGUGAUGGGGAUAGAUUAUUGCAAUUAUUAAUCUUCAACGAGGAAUUCCUAGUAAGCGCGAGUCAUCAGCUCGUGCUGAUUACGUCCCUGUCCUUUGUACACACCGCCAGUCGCUCCUACCGAUUGAGUGAUCCGGUGAAUAAUUCGGACUGCAGCAGUGUUCGGUCACGAACGUUGCAGCGGAAAGUUUAGUGAACCUUAUCACUUAGAGGAAGGAGAAGUCGUAACA
Molecule: ribosomal RNA, 325 nt
Filed under: uncultured eukaryote
Lineage: Eukaryota
Description: partial 18S ribosomal RNA
Rfam family: Eukaryotic small subunit ribosomal RNA
Source: RNAcentral